RNAcentral lists this ribosomal RNA (506 nucleotides) under uncultured Bacteroidota bacterium. RNAcentral describes it as "SSU rRNA". It matches the Rfam family "Bacterial small subunit ribosomal RNA", at positions 409 to 915 of the family's 1533-position model. Lineage: Bacteria; Pseudomonadati; Bacteroidota. The record is from RNAcentral.
CGAAGGCGCUCUGCGUCGUAAACUGCUUUUUUCAGAGAAGAAAAGGUUUGUUUCUACAGAUUUUGACGGUAUAUGAUGAAUAAGCACCGGCUAACUCCGUGCCAGCAGCCGCGGUAAUACGGAGGGUGCAAGCGUUAUCCGGAUUUACUGGGUUUAAAGGGUGCGUAGGCUGAUUGAUAAGUCAGUGGUGAAAUCCUCGGGCUCAACCCGGGAAUUGCCGUUGAUACUAUUAGUCUUGAAUAUAGUUGAGGUGAGCAGAAUGCGUGGUGUAGCGGUGAAAUGCUUAGAUAUCACGCAGAAUACCGAUUGCGAAGGCAGCUCGCUAAACUAUUAUUGACGCUGAGGCACGAAAGCGUGGGGAUCAAACAGGAUUAGAUACCCUGGUAGUCCACGCCCUAAACGUUGUUCACUCGAUCCCGGCGACAUACUGUCGGGGUCUAAGCAAAAGCAUUAAGUGAACCACCUGGGGAGUACGACCGCAAGGUUGAAACUCAAAGGAAUUGACG